GAUGAACGCUAGCGGGAGGCCUAACACAUGCAAGCCGAGCGGUAUUGUUUCUUCGGAAAUGAGAGAGCGGCGUACGGGUGCGUAACACGUGUGCAACCUGCCUUUAUCUGGGGGAUAGCCUUUCGAAAGGAAGAUUAAUACUCCAUAAUAUAUUGAACGGCAUCGUUUAAUAUUGAAAGCUCCGGCGGAUAGAGAUGGGCACGCGCAAGAUUAGCUAGUUGGUGAGGUAACGGCUCACCAAGGCGAUGAUCUUUAGGGGGCCUGAGAGGGUGAUCCCCCACACUGGUACUGAGACACGGACCAGACUCCUACGGGAGGCAGCAGUGAGGAAUAUUGGUCAAUGGGUGCAAGCCUGAACCAGCCAUCCCGCGUGAAGGACGACUGCCCUAUGGGUUGUAAACUUCUUUUGUAUAGGAAUAAACCUACCCUCGAGAGGGUAGCUGAAGGUACUAUACGAAUAAGCACCGGCUAACUCCGUG
This 479-nucleotide ribosomal RNA is filed under the name uncultured bacterium. RNAcentral's name for it is "partial 16S ribosomal RNA". It matches the Rfam family "Bacterial small subunit ribosomal RNA", at positions 28 to 507 of the family's 1533-position model. The record is from RNAcentral.